This 1528-nucleotide ribosomal RNA is filed under the name Klebsiella pneumoniae. RNAcentral's name for it is "bacterial SSU rRNA". It matches the Rfam family "Bacterial small subunit ribosomal RNA". Lineage: Bacteria; Pseudomonadati; Pseudomonadota; Gammaproteobacteria; Enterobacterales; Enterobacteriaceae. The record is from RNAcentral.
AGAGUUUGAUCAUGGCUCAGAUUGAACGCUGGCGGCAGGCCUAACACAUGCAAGUCGAGCGGUAGCACAGAGAGCUUGCUCUCGGGUGACGAGCGGCGGACGGGUGAGUAAUGUCUGGGAAACUGCCUGAUGGAGGGGGAUAACUACUGGAAACGGUAGCUAAUACCGCAUAACGUCGCAAGACCAAAGUGGGGGACCUUCGGGCCUCAUGCCAUCAGAUGUGCCCAGAUGGGAUUAGCUAGUAGGUGGGGUAAUGGCUCACCUAGGCGACGAUCCCUAGCUGGUCUGAGAGGAUGACCAGCCACACUGGAACUGAGACACGGUCCAGACUCCUACGGGAGGCAGCAGUGGGGAAUAUUGCACAAUGGGCGCAAGCCUGAUGCAGCCAUGCCGCGUGUGUGAAGAAGGCCUUCGGGUUGUAAAGCACUUUCAGCGGGGAGGAAGGCGAUAAGGUUAAUAACCUUGGCGAUUGACGUUACCCGCAGAAGAAGCACCGGCUAACUCCGUGCCAGCAGCCGCGGUAAUACGGAGGGUGCAAGCGUUAAUCGGAAUUACUGGGCGUAAAGCGCACGCAGGCGGUCUGUCAAGUCGGAUGUGAAAUCCCCGGGCUCAACCUGGGAACUGCAUUCGAAACUGGCAGGCUAGAGUCUUGUAGAGGGGGGUAGAAUUCCAGGUGUAGCGGUGAAAUGCGUAGAGAUCUGGAGGAAUACCGGUGGCGAAGGCGGCCCCCUGGACAAAGACUGACGCUCAGGUGCGAAAGCGUGGGGAGCAAACAGGAUUAGAUACCCUGGUAGUCCACGCCGUAAACGAUGUCGAUUUGGAGGUUGUGCCCUUGAGGCGUGGCUUCCGGAGCUAACGCGUUAAAUCGACCGCCUGGGGAGUACGGCCGCAAGGUUAAAACUCAAAUGAAUUGACGGGGGCCCGCACAAGCGGUGGAGCAUGUGGUUUAAUUCGAUGCAACGCGAAGAACCUUACCUGGUCUUGACAUCCACAGAACUUUCCAGAGAUGGAUUGGUGCCUUCGGGAACUGUGAGACAGGUGCUGCAUGGCUGUCGUCAGCUCGUGUUGUGAAAUGUUGGGUUAAGUCCCGCAACGAGCGCAACCCUUAUCCUUUGUUGCCAGCGGUCCGGCCGGGAACUCAAAGGAGACUGCCAGUGAUAAACUGGAGGAAGGUGGGGAUGACGUCAAGUCAUCAUGGCCCUUACGACCAGGGCUACACACGUGCUACAAUGGCAUAUACAAAGAGAAGCGACCUCGCGAGAGCAAGCGGACCUCAUAAAGUAUGUCGUAGUCCGGAUUGGAGUCUGCAACUCGACUCCAUGAAGUCGGAAUCGCUAGUAAUCGUAGAUCAGAAUGCUACGGUGAAUACGUUCCCGGGCCUUGUACACACCGCCCGUCACACCAUGGGAGUGGGUUGCAAAAGAAGUAGGUAGCUUAACCUUCGGGAGGGCGCUUACCACUUUGUGAUUCAUGACUGGGGUGAAGUCGUAACAAGGUAACCGUAGGGGAACCUGCGGUUGGAUCACCU